RNAcentral lists this long non-coding RNA (2900 nucleotides) under Ananas comosus (pineapple). RNAcentral's name for it is "long non-coding RNA (ACOM_LNC022133)". The record is from RNAcentral. Lineage: Eukaryota; Viridiplantae; Streptophyta; Magnoliopsida; Poales; Bromeliaceae.
AUUAAUUAGAGGAUAAACCUAACUAGAUUAGGACUAAUAUUUAAAUCUAUUAGAGAUUGAUUAAGAUAGAUUUAGAUAUUAAUUGGAGUAGAAAUCCUAAAUAUAUUAGGAUUGGGGUACGUUUUAGUGGAGCCUUAUAAAUAGCUCUUUGUGGGUUUGCUUUUGAGGUGAGUACGGGAGAGAGAAAAAAGAGCUCUUGGGUGCCGUACUAGAGAGAGAAAAAGAGAGAGAGAGUUAUUCAAUGAGUUGAGUGCAUCUAGUGCACGGGUGCGCGUGGAUGAUUGUCUUCUUUGUGGGAUCAUAGAAGACGAGAGAAGGGUAGAAGAAAUUCAAAAAAGAGGGCUCGAGUUGUAGCUACUCUGUUGCAGAAGAGGAGUCAGGUGUAAUCUUCUCUUAUUUAAUGAAUCUUAUUUUACCUGCAUAUGUUUCUCUUUUAUGAUUGUAUCAGCUUUUGCUGAGGAGACGGGUUUAUGGUCAAAACCCGAUUUGACGUUUCCGUUGCGGAAUCCCAACAAUCGAUACCGGAUCCACAGCAGUCGGUAUUGGAGCGGAUUGCGGAUUCACGAGAUCCGGUACCGGGGCGAGUACCCGAUUCCCAACAAGUGGUAUCAGAGCCGAAGGUUACCGAUUUGCCGGAGAGAUCGACGGAGAUGGCCACGAAAUUCGAAAUCGAGAAGUUCGACGGCAAGAACAAUUUCGGAUUAUGGCAAAUUAAAGUACGAGCAAUCCUCGUACAGCAAGAGUUAGACGAGACGUUGAACGGGAAGGAGGCAAAGCCGGCGGAGGUCACGGAUGUGGCAUGGACGAAGAUGGAGCGGAAGGCGCUGAGUACGCUUCAUCUAUCAUUAGCAGAUGAGGUUCUUUACAAUGUAGCCGGCGAGACGACACCGGCGAAAUUGUGGAAGAAAUUGGAAGAUCUGUACAUGACCAAAUCCCUGACGAACAGAUUGUAUCUGAAGCAGCGACUGUUUACGUUGCGGAUGCAAGAAGCGGCGAGCCUACAUGAUCAUCUAAAUGAGUUCAACAAGGUGGUGGCCCAGUUGACCAGCAUCGGAGUCAAUCUGGAUGACGAAGACAAGGCGUUGAUCCUACUAUCUUCGCUGCCGACGGCAUAUGAGCAUCUGGUGACCACGUUGCUUUAUGGCAAGGAGUCCAUAAGCGUAGAGGCGGUCACAGCGGCGCUUCUUUCGAACAAGAUGCGGAAGAUGACUCAGGAGUCCGGCAUACAGAGCCGGGAUACAGCUUUGGUGGUGAGAACGAAGAAGGUGGCGACAACAUCAGCGACCGGAGAUCGACAGAAAAAGCCGCUAUCUGAGGUGGAGUGCUUUUACUAUCACAGGAAAGGGCAUAUAAAGUGCAACUGUCGAAAACUUCAGGAUGAUUUGAAGAAGUUAAAGCGACAGAAGGAGAAAACUGUCGUGAAUCAGGACGAGAUGGUAUCAGCGACGGCACAGACGGCAGAGUCGGAGAUGUUCGAUUCUGAUGUGCUAUAUGCGGCGACCGGAGGUGCGAAAAUUUCGGACGAUGUGUGGGUUCUCGAUUCGGCGUAUUCUUUUCACGUAUGCCCGGAGAAGGAGUCUUUUGCCACCUAUAAGGCGACCAAAGGUGGAAAGGCGCUGAUGGGGAACGGGACAGCGUGCAAAGUAUUGGGGGUCGGCAUGGUGAAAAUCCGAAUGCACGAUGGGGUUGUGAGGACGUUGACAGGUGUGCGGCACGUUCCUGGAUUGAAGCGGAAUUUGAUCUCGUUAGGCUCAUUGGACUCGAAGGGUUGCGAUAUUUCAGCUUCAGGUGGAGCUAUGAGGGUCCAAAAACGAGAUCGGAUCGUGUGCGAGGCGAACAAGCGUGGGAACUUAUACGUUCUGAACGGAAGCACAGUCAGAACGGGAGCGAAAACGGUUUGGGUUCCAAAAGUUCGCGGAUGUGCAGUUGCUCGAGAUGGAGCGACGGAUGCGGCGACAUCGAGCGGAGGAGACAAGCUCAAGGUGGAGUUUGCAUGGUGAGCUCGACGUAGCGGUUGAAAAUUACAAAUCAAACCAAGGUGGAGAAUGUUAGGAUUUGGUUAGAUUUGUAGUUGAAUCCUAUUUAGAUAAGAAUUAAUAUUUAAAUCUGUUGGAGAUAAAUUAAGAUUUAAAUAUUAAUUAGAGGAUAAACCUAACUAGAUUAGGAUUAAUAUUUAAAUCUAUUAGAGAUUGAUUAAGAUAGAUUUAGAUAUUAAUUGGAGUAGAAAUCCUAAAUAUAUUAGGAUUGGGGUACGUUUUAGUGGAGCCUUAUAAAUAGCUCUUUGUGGGUUUGCUUUUGAGGUGAGUACGGGAGAGAGAAAAAAGAGCUCUUGGGUGCCGUACCAGAGAGAGAAAAAGAGAGAGAGAAAGUUAUCCAAUGAGUUGAGUGCACCUAGUGCACGGGUGCGCGUGGAUGAUUGUCUUCUUUGUGGGAUCAUAGAAGACGAGAGAAGGGUAGAAGAGAUUCAAAAAAGAGGGCUCGAGUUGUAGCCACUCUGUUGCAGAAGAGGAGUCAGGUGUAAUCUUCUCUUAUUUAAUGAAUCUUAUUUUACCUGCAUAUGUUUCUCUUUUAUGAUUGUAUCAGCUUUUGCUGAGGAGACGGGUUUAUGGUAAAAACCCGAUUUGACGUUUCCGUUGCGGAAUCCCAACAAUCGAUACCGGAUCCACAGCAGUCGGUAUCGGAGCGGGUUGCGGAUUCACGAGAUCCGGUACCGGGGCGAGUACCGGAUUCCCAACAGAUUCAUUAGAUAUAAUUUUUGGAUAUUAUUUUUUUAGUUACUCGAUUAAUUUCUUUUUCUACACCAUUUAUUUUUGACAAUAUUUGAUGCUUUAGUAAUAUAUUUUUAAGUGUAACAAUUUUUAUGUUUAGGCUCUUUACAUUACGCUUUGAUUAGAUUGGAC